Molecule: ribosomal RNA, 459 nt
Filed under: uncultured bacterium
Lineage: Bacteria
Description: bacterial SSU rRNA
Rfam family: Bacterial small subunit ribosomal RNA
Source: RNAcentral
CCUACGUGGGGCAGCAGUAGGGAAUAUUGGACAAUGGGUGCGAGCCUGAUCCAGCCAUGCCGCGUGCAGGAAGACGGCCUUCUGGGUUGUAAACUGCUUUUGCCAGGGGAUAAAAAGUCCCUGCGGGGAAAAUUGAAGGUACCUGGUGAAUAAGCCACGGCUAACUACGUGCCAGCAGCCGCGGUAAUACGUAGGUGGCAAGCGUUGUCCGGAUUUAUUGGGUUUAAAGGGUGCGUAGGCGGUCCAUUAAGUCAGUGGUGAAAUACGGCAGCUCAACUGUCGAGGUGCCAUUGAUACUGGAGGACUUGAGUACAGUUGAGGUGGGCGGAAUACAUCAUGUAGAGGUGAAAUUCUUAGAUAUGAUGUAGAACACCGAUUGCGAAGGCAGCUCACUAAAGUGUAACUGACGCUGAGGCACGAAAGCGUGGGGAUCAAACAGGAUUAGAUACCCCAGUANUC